GGACCUGUGGUCUAGUCUGGAAUAUGACACGGGACUUCGGAUCCCGAAAUCGAGGGUUCAAAUCCCUUCAGGUCCG
RNAcentral lists this transfer RNA (76 nucleotides) under Candidatus Methanovirga australis. RNAcentral's name for it is "tRNA-Arg". It matches the Rfam family "tRNA". Rfam says of the family: Transfer RNA (tRNA) molecules are approximately 80 nucleotides in length. Their secondary structure includes four short double-helical elements and three loops (D, anti-codon, and T loops). Lineage: Archaea; Methanobacteriati; Methanobacteriota; Methanobacteria; Methanobacteriales; Methanobacteriaceae. The record is from RNAcentral.